Molecule: ribosomal RNA, 1544 nt
Filed under: human gut metagenome
Description: bacterial LSU rRNA
Rfam family: Bacterial large subunit ribosomal RNA
Source: RNAcentral
GAAAUUCCAAUCGAACCCGGAGAUAGCUGGUUCUCCCCGAAAUAGCUUUAGGGCUAGCGUCGAGAGAAGAGUUGCGUGAAGGUAGAGCACUGAAUAUGUGAUGGCCCCAUCUCGGGGUACUGAGCAUAAUCAAACUGCGAAUGUCACGCCAACAUGCUCGGCAGUCAGACAGCGGGUGAUAAGGUCCGUUGUCAAGAGGGAAACAGCCCAGACCAUCAGCUAAGGUCCCAAAAUGUAUGCUAAGUGGAAAAGGAUGUGGAGAUGUACAGACAACUAGGAGGUUGGCUCAGAAGCAGCCAUCCUUUAAAGAGUGCGUAACAGCUCACUAGUCGAAUGACUCUGCGCCGAUAAUUUACCGGGGCUAAGCAUACUACCGAAGCUAUGGAUCCCAAGGGAUGGUAGGGGAGCGUUCCAUGAACGGAGAAGUACGACCGAAAGGACGUGUGGAGAUCAUGGAAGAGAGAAUGCCGGUGUGAGUAGCGGAACGUGGGUGAGAAUCCCACGCACCGAAAACCCAAGGUUUCCAGAGGAAGGUUCGUCCGCUCUGGGUAAGUCGGGACCUAAGGCGAGGCCGAAAGGCGUAGUCGAUGGACAACAGGUAGAGAUUCCUGUACCCGUAUAUAUGUGAAGGAAUGACGGAGAGAGGAAGCUGCAGCCAGCGGCUGGAAGAGCUGGUGCAAGCGAGAUAUCGGGAUGGCAGGCAAAUCCACCAUCCGAAACGAGAAGGCGUGAAGCGUACGGAAAGCUACGGCGAGUACGGAAGGCAGUGGAGGAACUUCCAAGAAAAGUUUCUAACGUUAAGUAUAUAUGGCCCGUACCGAAAAUGGACACACAUGGGUGAGGAGAGAAUCCUAAGGUGAGCGAGAGAACUAUAGCUAAGGAACUCUGCAAAAUGACUCCGUAACUUAGGGAGAAGGAGUGCUCAUAGAGAUAUGAGCCGCAGUGAAACGGCCCAAGCGACUGUUUACCAAAAACACAGCUCUCUGCUAAGCCGCAAGGCGAAGUAUAGGGGGUGACGCCUGCCCGGUGCUGGAAGGUUAAGGGGAGGGGUUAACGCAAGUGAAGCCCUGAACUGAAGCCCCAGUAAACGGCGGCCGUAACUAUAACGGUCCUAAGGUAGCGAAAUUCCUUGUCAGGUAAGUUCUGACCCGCACGAAAGGCGUAACGAUUUGGGCGCUGUCUCAGCUGUAGACUCGGUGAAGUCUUAGUACCUGUGAAGAUGCAGGUUACCCGCGACUAGACGGAAAGACCCCAUGGAGCUUCACUGCAGGUUGAUAUUGGGAUUUGAUGCAGCAUGUACAGGAUAGGUAGGAGGCAAAGAGAUGGAUACGCCAGUAUUCAAGGAGCCGCUGUUGGGAUACUACCCCUGUUGUAUUGGAUUUCUAACCGGACGACGUAGAGCCGUUGACGGGACAGUGUCAGUCGGGCAGUUUGACUGGGGCGGUCGCCUCCCAAAGAGUAACGGAGGCGCCCAAAGAUACCCUCAGCUUGGAUGGAAACCAAGCGCAGAGUGCAAAGGCAAAAGGGUGUUUGACUGCGAGACC